GAUGAAGAACGUAGCGAAAUGCGAUAAGUAGUGUGAAUUGCAGAAUUCAGUGAAUCAUCGAAUCUUUGAACGCACAUUGCGCCCUUUGGUAUUCCAAAGGGCAUGCCUGUUCGAGCGUCAUUUGUACCCUCAAGCUUUGCUUGGUGUUGGGCGUCUUGUCUCUAGCUUCGCUGGAGACUCGCCUUAAAGUAAUUGGCAGCCGGCCCACUGGUUUCGGAGCGCAGCACAAGUCGCACUCUCUAUCAGCAAAGGUCUAGCAUCCAUUAAGCCUUUUUUUCAACUUUUGACCUCGGAUCAGGUAGGGAUACCCGCUGAACUUAAGCAUAUCAAUAAGCGGAGGA
This 341-nucleotide unclassified non-coding RNA is filed under the name soil metagenome. RNAcentral describes it as "partial contains 5.8S ribosomal RNA, internal transcribed spacer 2, and large subunit ribosomal RNA". The stretch from base 1 to 120 matches the Rfam family "5.8S ribosomal RNA", at positions 35 to 154 of the family's 154-position model. The record is from RNAcentral.